This 1374-nucleotide ribosomal RNA is filed under the name uncultured bacterium. RNAcentral's name for it is "bacterial SSU rRNA". It matches the Rfam family "Bacterial small subunit ribosomal RNA", at positions 29 to 1393 of the family's 1533-position model. The record is from RNAcentral.
UUGAACGCUGGCGGUAUGCUUAACACAUGCAAGUCGAACGGAAACGAUACUAGCUUGCUAGUAGGCGUCGAGUGGCGGACGGGUGAGUAACGCGUAGGAAUCUGCCUGAUAGUGGGGGAUAGCCCGAAGAAAUUCGGAUUAAUACCGCAUAAUCUAUUCGUAGUAAAGUGGGGGACUUUCGAGCCUCACGCUAUCAGAUGAGCCUGCGUAAGAUUAGCUUGUUGGUAGGGUAAAAGCCUACCAAGGCGACGAUCUUUAGCUGGUCUGAGAGGAUGAUCAGCCACAUCGGGACUGAGACACGGCCCGAACUCCUACGGGAGGCAGCAGUGGGGAAUAUUGGACAAUGGGGGCAACCCUGAUCCAGCAAUACCGCGUGUGUGAAGAAGGCCUGAGGGUUGUAAAGCACUUUCAAUUGUGAAGAAAAGUUAGCGGUUAAUAACCGUUAGCCUUGACGUUAACUUUAGAAGAAGCACCGGCUAACUCCGUGCCAGCAGCCGCGGUAAUACGGAGGGUGCAAGCGUUAAUCGGAAUUACUGGGCGUAAAGCGUGCGUAGGCGGUUUAUUAAGUCAGAUGUGAAAGCCCCGGGCUUAACCUGGGAACUGCAUUUGAAACUGGUCAACUAGAGUAUGGUAGAGGAAAGUGGAAUUUCUGGUGUAGCGGUGAAAUGCGUAGAUAUCAGAAGGAACAUCAAUGGCGAAAGGCAGCUUUCUGGACCAAUACUGACGCUGAGGUACGAAAGCGUGGGUAGCAAACAGGAUUAGAUACCCUGGUAGUCCACGCCGUAAACGAUGAUAACUAGCCGUUGGGGGGAUUUACCCUUUAGUGGCGAAGCUAACGCGUUAAGUUAUCCGCCUGGGGAGUACGGCCGCAAGGUUAAAACUCAAAGGAAUUGACGGGGACCCGCACAAGCGGUGGAGCAUGUGGUUUAAUUCGAUGCAACGCGAAGAACCUUACCUGGUCUUGACAUCCUGCGAACUUUCUAGAAAUAGAUUGGUGCCUUCGGGAACGCAGUGACAGGUGCUGCAUGGCUGUCGUCAGCUCGUGUCGUGAGAUGUUGGGUUAAGUCCCGUAACGAGCGCAACCCCUAUCCUUAUUUGCCAGCACAUCAUGGUGGGAACUAUAAGGAGACUGCCGGUGAUAAACCGGAGGAAGGCGGGGACGACGUCAAGUCAUCAUGGCCCUUACGACCAGGGCUACACACGUGCUACAAUGGGAAGGACAAAGAGCCGCGAAGCCGCGAGGUGUAGCUAAUCUCAUAAACCUUUUCGUAGUCCGGAUUGGAGUCUGCAACUCGACUCCAUGAAGUCGGAAUCGCUAGUAAUCGUAGAUCAGAAUGCUACGGUGAAUACGUUCCCGGGUCUUGUACUCACCGC